GAUUAACGCUAGCGGCAGGCCUAAUACAUGCAAGUCGUACGGUAACCUCGGUAGCAAUACUGAGAACGAGUGGCGCACGGGUGCGUAACACGUAUGCAAUCUACCUUUGACUGGGGAAUAGCUCACCGAAAGGUGAAUUAAUACCGCAUAAUGCUUUGAAAGGACAUCCUUUUAAAGCCAAACCUCCGGGGGUCAAAGAUGAGCAUGCGUCCGAUUAGCUAGUUGGCGGAGUAACAGCCCACCAAGGCAACGAUCGGUAGGGGAUCUGAGAGGAUGAUCCCCCACACU
Molecule: ribosomal RNA, 288 nt
Filed under: uncultured bacterium
Lineage: Bacteria
Description: partial 16S ribosomal RNA
Rfam family: Bacterial small subunit ribosomal RNA
Source: RNAcentral